RNAcentral lists this ribosomal RNA (520 nucleotides) under uncultured Archaeospora. RNAcentral describes it as "SSU rRNA". It matches the Rfam family "Eukaryotic small subunit ribosomal RNA", at positions 569 to 1089 of the family's 1831-position model. Lineage: Eukaryota; Fungi; Glomeromycota; Glomeromycetes; Archaeosporales; Archaeosporaceae. The record is from RNAcentral.
AGCAGCCGCGGUAAUUCCAGCUCCAAUAGCGUAUAUUAGAGUUGUUGCAGUUAAAAAGCUCGUAGUUGAAUUUUAGGCCUGGCCAGGCGGUCCGUCUUUGGCGAGUACUGUCUUGUUGUCGGGUCUUCCUUCUGGUGAACCAGUAUGCCCUUUAUUUGGGUGUGUUGGGGGAGCCAGGACCAUUACCUUGAAAAAAAUUAGAGUGUUUAAAGCGGGCUAUUGCUUGAAUAGAUUAGCAUGGAAUAAUAGAAUAGGACGUUGUGGUUCUAUUUUGUUGGUUUCUAGGACCACCGUAAUGAUUAAUAGGGAUAGUUGGGGGCAUUAGUAUUCAAUUGUCAGAGGUGAAAUUCUUGGAUUUAUUGAAGACUAACUAUUGCGAAAGCAUUUGCCAAGGAUAUUUUCAUUAAUCAAGAACGAAAGUUAGGGGAUCGAAGACGAUCAGAUACCGUCGUAGUCUUAACCAUAAACUAUGCCGACUAGGAAUCGGGCGACGUUAUUUUCAUGACUCGCUCGGCGCCUU